UAGACUGAAUCUUGAGUUUAUGGGUCAAAUUUUCCUCUUAAAUCUUGAGUAUUGGUUCAACUUCGCCGACUCAGACGGCGAUAGCCGCUUGACUGGCAAUGAUGCUAUGAAAAUUUUCGCCAUGUCCAAUUUGUCUAGGCCUGAACUCAAGCAGGUAUAUUCUGUUAUGUGUCUGGAUGGGGAAUUAUUGUACGCACAUAGUAGGUAGGUGAUGUGGAUGAAUAAUUUAAUAUCGAUUAUGGAAAGGACCUUCUCUCUCUCUCUCGGAGGAAAAAUGUUAAAUGUGCGAUUGGUCUACUGCUUAAGAAAUAUUAUUAGUAUAGUCGAUUUGGAGUUUUUUUUAAUUGUUUUGGUUAUUGGUUUAGUAAGUGAGUCGAAGUGCUAGAUUUAUGAAAUCUGAUGUACCUGUAUCUGCGUUUUAAUUUUAUGCACUCCAAAGUGGAAAUUGUCAAUGUCAAAGGCAGUUUUGAUAUAUUCAUCUACCAGCGGAAAACUCUAAUUGCCGUUAGGAGAUGAAAUUGAAUUACUAAGACAUUGAAGGAUUUUACCUUCGAAAUUUUUGUUAUCUCUCUUUUGCUGUUUACCUUUAUUGCAUUGAUCAUCGUCCUUACCAGGGUUUUAGAGCCAUAGCGAGCCAUAUUUCUUUUCAAUUGCUGGACUUAUGGAUUAUCCGUUCUCUAGUUUGUUUGACCAUUGUGAUUGCUACCACAGUUGGUAAUUUGCUCUUGAAACAUGUUUGUUAGCGUAUUUGAAGUGGCAGAGGAGUUUGAAUUGAACUCCAGAUAUGUUGAAUCCACAAUUUCUUAUGGUAAGUGACCUAUUAUUUUAUGUCUUUAUUUUUACCCUUGGCAUCAAUCUCCAGCUUUUUAGUUGUUUCUAUGGUUUUGGUUUGGGCUGUAUUAUCGGUUUUUAUGUCUGGUUGUAGUAUUGUCCAAAUCUGUUUUGAUUUAUAUUGAAUUAGUAAUGUCUUUAAGAUAAAUAUGCCUCUUUAACGCUGUUAUUCUACUCAUCCUUGUACUAAUGUCUUUGUAAUUUCAAAUAUAAGUUGUCUUGGGAACAUUGUUGGCUGCUUUGGUCCCUGUUCUGGGCUUUAAUCCGGUCAUGGCAUCCGAGCAUUUUGCUUCAUUUUUGGUUAGUUCCAACUGGCUGGUUUUUCUGCCAUUCUUGCUUUCUCAUUCGCUAUUACUGUAGUCAGGGAUUCGCUUUUACUUUUUUUAUGCUUCUCAAUCUUUUUAAAUUUAUGCCUUAUGUUGCUCUUAAUCUCUAAUUUUACUUUUCCAUUCUUGGGCAUGUACAGGUGUUUAUUAUUAUUCAUGUUGUAGCUCUUGUUUACUAUAUUAAAGGGAUUCUGUCACUAAGAAUGUUAAAAGUGGCUGUUACGCUUGUGUUUUCAGUUGGCCUGGUAAUUUGCUGUGCCAUGGUGACUGUACUUAUAGCAUUAGUAGCCUCCAGCCCAACUAAGGGUUGGAGUGGGCGUAGUCUAAGUCUGCUUGAUCCGCAUGCUUUUUGCCACUUUCUGAUGCAAGCUCCUUUAGCAUCCUUUACAUAGUUACAUUAGUAUAUUUUUCAGGUGUCAUGGUGCCACUAAUGCUUGUACUUGGUCCAGCAGUAUGCAAAAUGCCUGGAAUUUCUCUUUCAGGAGCUUUUGAUGUUCUUACUCAUUCGCUCAAAUUUCAGUUGCCUAGUACAUCAGAAAUUUUUACAUCUGAUUAGAGAAGGUUCAUUGUGUCUGGGCAGCAGCAGAAGCAUGUUCAAUACCCUUCAUAGUGCUAACAAGUCAAUCUCAUGAUGGCCUUCGCAUUUUUUAUGACUUCAAAGAGGCCUAUGCAUGGUUGAGCCAUAACACAGAUGUAGAUCAUAAAUCUAACUUCAUAUUUUGAUCGUGAGAAGACUGAUGCUCGUGCUGCAAGAGAUGCUCAAAAUCUGACCACAGCUGUGUAGUCUAUGCUUUAGUGGCAAAAUCUAGUAUUCUAUCUUUUGGGAAGGAUAUGUAUUGGCCAUUAGAACUUACAACUGAUUAUGUGGGAUUACUAUAUUCCCAACAUUUGUGGUUCACUUCUGUUUUGACUAAUUUGGAGAUGUGUUAUGGCCAAAUAUAUGAAUUUGUGGCAUAUAUUCUA
Molecule: RNA transcript, 2120 nt
Organism: Coffea eugenioides
Lineage: Eukaryota; Viridiplantae; Streptophyta; Magnoliopsida; Gentianales; Rubiaceae
Gene name: dolichyl-diphosphooligosaccharide--protein glycosyltransferase subunit STT3A-like
Exons: 7
Source: RefSeq, a predicted model, not a curated record